AAAAGCAAAUACAAACAUACCUCCCGAAAAAUAUUCCUUCAGGAAAUACUUUUCAUCCCAAACAGCAGACAGCAACAAGCAAGACAAUCCUAACAUUGCAUUGCAGCUCAUUCAAUACCCAAAUCCUUCAACUCCCUAAAAUCUCCCUCACUUUAUGUAAAUGGUAUCAGAACCAAGACCCGUUGAUGAGAAAAGCCAUCUUAGAAGAAGAUCACUUCACUGCCUGUGCAAAUGAUGGUGUCGACAUGUGCAUGUAAAGUGAAGUGUAGAAACAAUGGCAUCUUGAAAGUUGAUGUAUAAGAAAUAUUUUAAAGAACGUUAUGGUAAUUGUUUGAGGGCAUCAUUUAGGUCCCCAAUUGGUUACAGAUGUACUCUGCCUGCAUUGAUGUCGUCCUGUUUCUGUACGAAAUGUCUUCUACAAAUGGCUCUAAGGCCUCCAUCGAGAUCCCGAGAAAAUGAUAUCUGCAUGAAUUUUCUUCGCAAUUACUUUCCCCUCCUUAACAGCUAGGAAGGAAUUAAGGCAAUACACAUGGAUUCCCAACCCAACUCAACCAACCCUACAACUGGACAUAAUGGGUCUGAACACCCCCGAGCACAACCUAUACAGCCGACUUUUUAGAUUAAGUUAAUCCAUGUAUUAUAUUUUAUAACUUUGUUCAUUA
This is a long non-coding RNA of Episyrphus balteatus (marmalade hoverfly), 662 nucleotides long. RefSeq lists it as uncharacterized. The record is from RefSeq and is a predicted model, not a curated record. The transcript is spliced from 2 exons. Lineage: Eukaryota; Metazoa; Arthropoda; Insecta; Diptera; Syrphidae.